CCUUUGCAAAGAGAGCAGCUAUGACCAACUAGGUGCCAUAGUACUCAUGUACUCGCCUAUAUUAGUAAGACAGAAAAAAGGACAGAGACAGAUUGAGCUAAAUGAGCUAACCUGAGAAACAGCUUUGAGUCUAUUACUACCAGACUCACUUCCCCCUGGAACUUACAAGCAACCUCUCAAGAGAUCCAGGUUUCAUCAAAGGAUGGCAGCAGACACUGUCAUUUGUAAUGGGAUGAAGUUGUAUUCACAGAAUCAUUUAAGAGAAGAAGGAGGAAGAAGAAGAAGAAGGAGAGAGAGAAAAAAAAAAAAAAAAAAAGGUUGGAAGGGACCUUUUGGAAAUACCCAAUCCAAUCUUUGGUCAAGGCAGGAUUAUCUUAAUGUAAACCAUAAUGGACAAUUGUUUGUCUAAUCUGUUCAUAAAAACUUUCAAGAAUGAAGAUUCCAGACCUUCUCUAGGUACUCUGUCCUGAUAUUUUCGUACCCUCAUAGUGAGAAAUUUUUUUUCUGAUACAGAAGCUGAAUUUUCCUUGUUGCAAACUAAAAGCAUUUUCUUCUCCAAAGAAUAUAUGCAGUGACAUUAUAAAUAAAUCAAUAACCAACCAGGACUGGUCAUCAGCCUUGCUAUAUAGUAUUAUAUGGGCAGAAAAAAUCAUUUACAUUCCUAUCUUAUUGGUUCAUUAAUGCCGUGAGCUUCAAGAGGUGAUCAAUCUGUAACUGGUACAAAGCUAGGCAAAGGACAGGAGCCAAAUAUCAAUAGCCAGGAUCCCAAAUCAAGGGGCAGGAGCAAGUGGGAACUGUGAGGUAGUGGGCUUCAGUCAGGUCAAAAGGUAGAUGGUUUUCAAGCCAGUUUGGAAGGCAGGAGAUGAGUUGAGGUCAGGAGAUAAGAAGUAGAAAACAGCAUCAGAAGCAGGAUACCAAAGCAGCAUGGUCCCCUUCUCCCUUGCUGCACUUGGCACAUGAAG
Alligator sinensis (Chinese alligator) is the source of this 962-nucleotide long non-coding RNA. RefSeq lists it as uncharacterized. The transcript has 2 exons. The record is from RefSeq and is a predicted model, not a curated record. NCBI's taxonomy places the organism in Eukaryota, Metazoa, Chordata, Crocodylia, Alligatoridae.